ACAAUUGAUUUUUUCAAUAAUUUCCAUAAUUACACAUCAUAGCAAGAACCUCACUACCCAUUAAAAACAUAUCACAAAUCAUAAUGCUAAUUUAACAAAAAAGCAUAUUACAUUAUCCAUUUAACAAAAAAUUUGAAAAGAUAAAAAAAAAUUAAAGUGUUGGAAGUCUGGUACUACUGGUGUGAAGAAUGGAUCAUAGAAAGAGAGAAUAAGAAGGAGAGAAAGAAGA
Molecule: unclassified non-coding RNA, 229 nt
Filed under: Hevea brasiliensis (rubber tree)
Lineage: Eukaryota; Viridiplantae; Streptophyta; Magnoliopsida; Malpighiales; Euphorbiaceae
Source: RNAcentral